CGGAGCUCGUCUAUGGGGCUCAUGUUGGCUGAGGCUCUGAACUACAGAACUGCAAACAACCAAGGGAGCGCCCCAGGCCCCAGCCGUGUGAAGAUGUGCCUGCUUCGCCUUCCAUCAUGACUGAAGUUUCCUGAGGCCUCCCCAGCUAUGCUCCCUAUACAGCCUGCAGAACGGUCGGCUGCCUCCAAUCCUGAGGUCAUCACUCAUCAAGAGGGGAUAAUCCCAGGGACAGCAGGAUCUGCUUCGUUACUUGGAUUUAGGAGCCAGAAACCCAUCAGGCAACUAAACAGUAACAAUGACCCGCCAUUAAACACACUGAGAGAAGAGCAUGAUGAAGAGUUUGUACAAGAAGAAGCCAGGAGCACUUGCUGACAAUGCUUACAGAGACGCAGGCUUCUAUGAGCUCUGCCUGUUGAACUGCAGUAAAAAUAGAUCUCCUUCCCCAGAGAGGCUUGGAUGUGGGCACAAUAUCAGUUCAGACGAUGGUCAAUGCAUGUACUUAAUAGAGUGAAAAGACUUUGGACUGUGAAGUCAGAUUACCUGGGUCUGAAUUGUUAUUCUUCUACUUCUUUGUAGUAUGCUUUCACCACAUUAAAAAUUGUCUGAGCCUCAAUUUUUUUAUCUGCAAAAUGGAGCUAAUACCUACACAGGGGCUUUUAAGAGAAUCAAAUGCAACAAUGUUUGAAAAGCAACAUACUCCCCUUUAUGGAAAAAGAGCCUGUAAAGGAACCAAUACAAUGGCUGGGCGUGGUGACUCACACCUGUAAUCCUAGCACUUUGGGAGGCCGAGGUGGGUGGAUUGCCUGAGCUCAGGAGUUCGAGACCAGCCUGGGCAACAUGGUGAAACCCCGACUCUACUAAAAUACAAAAGA
RNAcentral lists this long non-coding RNA (872 nucleotides) under Homo sapiens (human). RNAcentral's name for it is "non-protein coding lnc-ZNF644-1:13". Lineage: Eukaryota; Metazoa; Chordata; Mammalia; Primates; Hominidae. The record is from RNAcentral.